This 253-nucleotide ribosomal RNA is filed under the name uncultured bacterium. RNAcentral's name for it is "partial 16S ribosomal RNA". It matches the Rfam family "Bacterial small subunit ribosomal RNA", at positions 15 to 263 of the family's 1533-position model. The record is from RNAcentral.
GAUCCUUGCUCAGGAUGAACGCUAGCGACAGGCUUAACACAUGCAAGUCGAGGGGCAGCACGGUGUAGCAAUACACUGGUGGCGACCGGCGCACGGGUGAGUAACACGUGUGCAACCAACCCCGUACCGGGAGAUAACCCGCGGAAACGUGGACUAACAUCCCAUAAGACUCUAGAGCCGCAUGGCUCUGGAUUUAAAAUUCCGGUGGUACGGGACGGGCACGCGCGACAUUAGGUAGUUGGCGGGGUAACGG